Long non-coding RNA from Hemicordylus capensis (graceful crag lizard), 598 nucleotides. RefSeq lists it as uncharacterized. The record is from RefSeq and is a predicted model, not a curated record. The transcript has 3 exons. Lineage: Eukaryota; Metazoa; Chordata; Lepidosauria; Squamata; Cordylidae.
CCAGGUCCCGACUCCCGCUUAGAGCACGGUCAGGGAAGCAAGGAGAUCAAGCUCUUAAAUGAGGCGAUUGCAGAACAGGAAUGCAAGAGAUGGGGCCGUUGCUUUUGCGGAAAGGCCGUGCACUCUACACCAGUUGGAUUCCCCUCAACAAUGUUGUGCCUCCAUCUUUUGUAAUCUCACUACAGUAUAUACUUUGUUUUCCUUUCUAGUAGAAGGGAAAGGAAGGAAAGGAGACCCAGGUGAAGCACUGACUGUUCUGAAUCAGUGCCUGGAUGCAGUAAUGGACUGGAUGAGGGUGAACAAGUUGAGACUCAAUCCAGACCAGACAGAAGUACUGUUGGUCAGUGGAUCCUCUGCCCAGGUUUCUGCAUGCUGCAUCUUUCAAACAAACUCUCAAAUCUGGCAGUUUAAUACACACUGUCAUAACUUACAUUGUUUAAGCUGAGAGUCAGGAAAAAAGAAUGGACGUUUCAAACAGAAAGCACAAUUAUUCAAGAAAACAACUGUGGAAUGUAAUACCCUGCAGACUGAAGCUUUGCCCUCCACAGUCCUUCAUUCAGCACUACCCUUGAAAUAAAAUUGCAAUGUUUUUAGCCCA